RNAcentral lists this ribosomal RNA (223 nucleotides) under uncultured bacterium. RNAcentral describes it as "partial 16S ribosomal RNA". It matches the Rfam family "Bacterial small subunit ribosomal RNA", at positions 524 to 743 of the family's 1533-position model. The record is from RNAcentral.
UACGUAGGGUGCAAGCGUUUAAUCGGAAUUACUGGGCGUAAAGCGUGCGCAGGCGGUUAUGUAAGACAGAUGUGAAAUGCCCGGGCUUAACCUGGGAACUGCAUUUGUGACUGCAUGGCUAGAGUUUGGCAGAGGGGGGGUAGAAUUCCACGUGUAGCAGUGAAAUGCGUAGAUAUCAGGAGGGAACACCGGUGGCGAAGGCGGGUCUCUGGGCAGUAACUGA